UAGGGAAUCUUCGGCAAUGGGGGGAACCCUGACCGAGCAACGCCGCGUGAGUGAAGAAGGUCUUCGGAUCGUAAAGCUCUGUUGUUAAGGAAGAACGAGUGUGAGAAUGGAAAGUUCAUACUGUGACGGUACUUAACCAGAAAGGGACGGCUAACUACGUGCCAGCAGCCGCGGUAAUACGUAGGUCCCGAGCGUUGUCCGGAUUUAUUGGGCGUAAAGCGAGCGCAGGCGGUUAGAAAAGUCUGAAGUGAAAGGCAGUGGCUCAACCAUUGUAGGCUUUGGAAACUGUUUAACUUGAGUGCAGAAGGGGGGAGUGGAAUUCCAUGUGUAGCGGUGAAAUGCGUAGAUAUAUGGAGGAACACCGGUGGCGAAAGCGGCUCUCUGGUCUGUAACUGACGCUGAGGCUCGAAAGCGUGGGGAGCGAACAGG
Molecule: ribosomal RNA, 429 nt
Filed under: Bacteroidota bacterium
Lineage: Bacteria; Pseudomonadati; Bacteroidota
Description: Bacteroidetes bacterium partial 16S ribosomal RNA
Rfam family: Bacterial small subunit ribosomal RNA
Source: RNAcentral